CAGUAUCUUUUACUUUUAUUUUAAGAUACAUUGUUUUGUUUUGUUUUGUUUUUUCUAUGAGGCAUCAUGUCACUGUUUUCCUGUCAUCUUUGGCUGGAUGGACUUAUGGGGCUGACAUAGGAUGGUGGAAUAUACAUGACAAUAUAUUGUAUAAACAGGGACUUUUAACCCAUAUCCUUGUUUUGUUUAAAUUCAUUUUAUUUCCACUUUCAAAAGUAUAUGGUGCUGAAAGUACAAAAACCCAUGAGGCUUUUGCCAAGCAAAGAACAAGUUUGGCAGCUACAGUGUGGCCAGGAAAAUGUAGAUGUUAAGAACCCCCUUAAGAAAGAAGUGAAGAGGUGUGCAGAGAUCUUGAGAGAAAUCAGGAGACAGAUUUUGAAGUAUGAAAAUGAAGAAGCCUGCUUGGAGAAGACAUUAUGGUAAAUACUAAGGAUCAGAAAGGCUUUCAGGAAACAAAAGUCUGCAUCUUUUGGAGCCUGUGACCUGGUGGGAGAAGGGCUGAGCAGCGGUCCCUCUGUGCUUCUCCCUGCCUGGAGUUACAUACUGAAAUCACUGCAGGCAUUUGACUGCUUCAUGUAGCCCCAGAAGUUUUACUGUGGGUCAUCUCAGAGCCAAAACUAGAAACAAGCACCUCUGAAAUAGAACCCGACGAAUGUGAAAGAAGCAUUUCUGAAGAGGUACCUGCCAGCAAGACUUGUUCCUUUGCCACAGGGGUGCUGGGCAAAAG
This is a long non-coding RNA of Meriones unguiculatus (Mongolian gerbil), 727 nucleotides long. RefSeq lists it as uncharacterized. The transcript is spliced from 4 exons. The record is from RefSeq and is a predicted model, not a curated record. NCBI's taxonomy places the organism in Eukaryota, Metazoa, Chordata, Mammalia, Rodentia, Muridae.